CGAUCGAGCAGCUACGAUAGUGCGGGCGCUGGGUCUGGCUGCUGGCUCGGCGCACUACGCGCCCAGCAAUGUUGUGGGUCUAGCUUUGGGCUUUGUGGCUGCGCUUGCCAUCGUGGCCAUCGCCGUGUUUGGCUGCGCCGGCCACAAGAAGCGUCCCGCGGAUAAGAAGCGCAGACGUCGUCGCGGAGGCGGAGGCGACGGCGGCGGAGGAGGGGAUGACGGCGGCGGAUAUGGGGACGGUGGGGGCGGAGGUGACGGUGGUGGUGGUGGCGGCGGUGGAGGUGACGGCGGGGGCGGAGGAGGCUGCUAAGGAAAGUCGUCGUUCUUGAGGCAGAGAUAGAAACACAAUUGCAUUGUCCACCUUGAUAUAUACUAUUACUCCCUCUGUCUUAUUCUUAAAGACGGUUUUUUGACAGUAUCAUAAUGUCAAAAAAGGGUCUUACCUUUUGAGACAGAGGGAUUACUUUUGUGUUGAAUUUUCAUGGUACUUGACUGGUCAGAUUAUUUUGUAAUUUCGGCCAUACCUAUGUAAGUGUGUUCUUGCAAUCUUUUGGCAGCAUUGGUUGAAUGCCGGCCUUAUUUUUCAUGUUCUUCCUACAUUGUUAUGUUUUUUA
This 614-nucleotide ribosomal RNA is filed under the name Triticum aestivum (bread wheat). RNAcentral's name for it is "partial small subunit ribosomal RNA". The record is from RNAcentral. Lineage: Eukaryota; Viridiplantae; Streptophyta; Magnoliopsida; Poales; Poaceae.